Molecule: long non-coding RNA, 2506 nt
Organism: Bombus pyrosoma
Lineage: Eukaryota; Metazoa; Arthropoda; Insecta; Hymenoptera; Apidae
Exons: 6
Source: RefSeq, a predicted model, not a curated record
AUGCUUAACAGUCGACACAAUGCCACGUACACAGGCGUGCAGCUGCGCUCGCGAACGUGAGCCCAAGCCAGACCAGCGUGCGGCACACGUUGUCAUUUCCGUCGUGAAACAUUUGACCACGUUAUAACGCUAAUAUCGCGCGUCACCGUGUCAAGGGUGAGAGUUGAAUAUUUAAUUCGCGGUAUUGUCGGAGCCCUCGGUGCCGCUCGAUUGCUUCUUUCUUUCCGUCUCCUCUGUGCGCUCGGUUCCGACUAAUUAAUCGUGAGAUUUCUUUUGCUACUGCUUGCGUCACGAGCAACGAUUCCGAUAAUGGAUGGCGGACGUUCAUAUAUUACUUUAUAUGAUUCAUGAAUAACUAGCCAAAUCCAUAGAUACACCAUCGAGACGAUCUGGAUAUGUAUUAAUGCAAAAUGACAGAUAAUCAGGGAAACGAAUACAGAGUUACGCGUACCAUGAAGAUAAACUAAUUUCAUAAGACAAACAUAAAUGGCUGGUAAUAUUUCAUAAGACGAAGAGUUGACUGGAUCUUCUGGCCCUUUGAAUUUGAUCAGAACAUAAAUCUCAAGAUGUACUCUUCAUAAACUUUUUCGAAGGGUCUUGCUGCGAACACGUUGAAUGGUAACCAUGGAAAAUUGGGUAAACCCGGCCGCCGGAAUAUUGCACGUUGUCAUCAAAGGAUUAAUUGAAAAUGGAGAUGACAUUGUCGCCGCUUGAAAAUUACUGGGAAUGUGGAUUAUCGGAGCGCCGGGUAUAAACGUAUCUCUAUUUAUAAUGUCACUUCGAAUUGGGAUAUCUGAAUUGACGACAUCAUGAUUGCAACAAACCAAAAGGAUAAUCUUUAGUACACGCAUUUCAUUCUUAUUAUUUGCAAUAUCGUUUUACAUUUGCAACGGUAAAUGAACAGCAGUAAAGUAACUAUGCCAGGAUAAACCACUGUAUGGAUAAAUGAAAGGUGCAAGCUCUCGAUUAGAGGUAAGAGGUUUAAAACUGAACUAAAACUAUGAAUUCAACGGCUGUUCCUUUAAAGUACUUGUGUGCUUGGAGCUACAUUAGCUUAUUGUUAGUAAUAAUACCAAUUUUAUUAUACAUGAAUGCAUUGAUACGCAAAACGUAAUUUCGCGUUUACAAGAGCUUACCAUGUACUGUAUGUAUACGUGCGAAAUAAUUGAAGGAUUCGAGAUUAAUUUACAACACCAUAAAUUGUAUAUUUAAUACAAUGAUGUAGUAAUUAUAAUGGCUACUAAUAAUAUAUGAAUGCGUUAUAGAUAAUUUCGAAUUAUUAGUUGUUGCAUAUGAUACAAUUAGCGAUUAUAGACUAUUAUCUAAAGUAUAUACUAUUUAAGUUUCGUGUAAUGAUUUGUGUAAAUGUCCUUUCAUUGUUAAUUGUUUAGUAUCGUUUAUAAUACGAAUACACGUAUGGAAAUUACUUUGGAUGUAAAGUGGAAUUGUUAUGAGAGAAAAUUUUUGCACGUCGCGAAAUAUUUCUUUAUUUCUAAAAAAAUAUAAUGUAUGUAAAAAAUGAAAUGCAUAGGUCAAUAGAAUUAGUGUUUAAGAAAUUACAAACUUCAUAGUAUUAUUUACAUGUAUGAACAUGCACAUGAAAUUCGCAAUUUUUGUAAAUUUACAAUCCAUAUUUCAAGUAAUUUAAAUUUAAAAUAAAACUGUUAUUAAAACAAACCAUUUUAUAUAUAAAAUGGUAAUAUUAUAUCGAUAUCUAAUACUAUAUAUAUAAUAUUAUUAACAAUAGUGUUAUGAAAUAUAUAAUAUUAAUAAUAGUACUAUGAAAUAUUCUCCUUUCUUCCUAAAGAAAUGUAUACGACUAUUUUAGUUAGAUGGAAUUAAUAAACUGACAAUACUACAACAUUACACAAUAAAUUUCUUCGAAAUGGAAAUAUAUUUUUCUGAUACUGUAUCAAAUUAUUGUAAAAAUUCUAAUAAAGAAAUUGUGGCGUUUCCAUUGCGCGUGGGAAGUUAACUAUCAGAAUAUGUAAUUUUCGAUGACAAAAUAUUUUGUGCGGUCAUCAGAGGAUUAAUUGAAAAUGGAAAUGUCACCAGCACUGUACUGCAAUUGCGAGUUCGUAGGUGGACACAGCAAUAGGUGUGAAUGCAUGAAAGAGCAAACGACAGUAAUAGGUAUUGUAUUGCAAAACAACUGGCAGCAGUGCACUUUCGAAGAGUGUCGUAUGCGUUCGUUAAUUAGUUUAUUCGGUCUAUUAUUAUUUGAAAACUCCAUGUUGAGUAUGUCGCGUUAUUGUGUACAAGCGAACGCAAAUAAUCAUCAUUCCUUCUUCAUAGAUGAGCAUAAAUUGCACUGCAAUUACGUAGAUUAUUUUAUCAUAACAGAAAGAAUGAGAGUAAUAAGUAUACACUAUGGCUCAAAAGUAUCUGAACAUUCGUUGAUUCUUGGCAAAAUAUAUUUUAAGGACAAAAUUACAAACAAAUUAAAUUGCUCCGAUUUUAUUCCUUAUAAUUGUCAUAGCUAUGUGUAAUAGCAUGUUAUGAUCCG